UCCCGGGUAGUUCAGUUGGCAGAACGGCAGACUCUGAAUCUGCAUGUCGGUGGUUCGAUCCCAUCCCCGGGAGCCA
RNAcentral lists this transfer RNA (76 nucleotides) under Vulcanimicrobiota bacterium. RNAcentral's name for it is "tRNA-Gln". It matches the Rfam family "tRNA". From Rfam's summary of the family: Transfer RNA (tRNA) molecules are approximately 80 nucleotides in length. Their secondary structure includes four short double-helical elements and three loops (D, anti-codon, and T loops). The record is from RNAcentral. Lineage: Bacteria; Bacillati; Vulcanimicrobiota.